This 253-nucleotide ribosomal RNA is filed under the name uncultured bacterium. RNAcentral describes it as "partial 16S ribosomal RNA". It matches the Rfam family "Bacterial small subunit ribosomal RNA", at positions 524 to 776 of the family's 1533-position model. The record is from RNAcentral.
UACGUAGGUGGCAAGCGUUAUCCGGAAUUAUUGGGCGUAAAGCGCUCGCAGGCGGUUUCUUAAGUCUGAUGUGAAAGCCCACGGCUCAACCGUGGAGGGUCAUUGGAAACUGGGAGACUUGAGUGCAGAAGAGGAGAGUGGAAUUCCACGUGUAGCGGUGAAAUGCGUAGAGAUGUGGAGGAACACCAGUGGCGAAGGCGACUCUCUGGUCUGUAACUGACGCUGAGGAGCGAAAGCGUGGGGAGCGAACAGG